CUUGGCGCUCGGCCUUAGAUUCUACCACGCAGCGUUAUUUUUAGAUUUCUAUUAUGCACUCAGAGUUUGUGAAUAAAUCGUAUUGAGGAGGGGAAUGUAGCCCUGCGUGGGUGGUUGGUGGUCUUUUUUCCAGUAAGUAGGAACCUUUGGGUUCUGAAGUUCUUGAAGCUGGGGUAGCAACCGGCAACCGUGGAGUGGCCCAUGAGAGCCUGAGCCAGCAUAAAGCCACCUUGGAUCAACCUUAGUCACUUCAAAUCUGGUCUCGUGGAGCCACCUGAAAGUGACAGCCAUAAAAGCCCCAGCCCGCUGCUGAGAGGAGCUGCCUGGACAGAGCAUCUCUGAGGCCCGAGGUGCUGGGACUGCACACAGUGAGUUCUUUCCUAAGCUCUCGAGAGGACCAGAUUUUAGACUGUAACCUCUGAUUUAAAGCACGAAGGUGUUCCUGCUGCUUAGGUUGCUGGGUCUUGAUUUGUUUUUGGUAAACAGAGGGCACUGGCUUAUGUCCAUCCUCAAAGCUGCUUUGUCCUAGGGUGCCCGUUGCCAUAGUUAACGUGAG
Molecule: long non-coding RNA, 556 nt
Filed under: Mus spicilegus (steppe mouse)
Lineage: Eukaryota; Metazoa; Chordata; Mammalia; Rodentia; Muridae
Description: lncRNA (ENSMSIG00000029679.1)
Source: RNAcentral